This 492-nucleotide ribosomal RNA is filed under the name uncultured bacterium. Its description in RNAcentral is "partial 16S ribosomal RNA". It matches the Rfam family "Bacterial small subunit ribosomal RNA", at positions 29 to 507 of the family's 1533-position model. The record is from RNAcentral.
AGUGAACGCUGGCGGUAGGCCUAACACAUGCAAGUCGAACGGCAGCACAGUAAGAGCUUGCUCUUACGGGUGGCGAGUGGCGGACGGGUGAGGCAUACAUCGGAAUCUACUUUUUCGUGGGGGAUAACGUAGGGAAACUUACGCUAAUACCGCAUACGACCUACGGGUGAAAGCAGGGGAUCUUCGCACCUUGCGCGAUUGAAUGAGCCGAUGUCGGAUUAGCUAGUUGGCGGGGUAAAGGCCCACCAAGGCGACGAUCCGUAGCUGGUCUGAGAGGAUGAUCAGCCACACUGGAACUGAGACACGGUCCAGACUCCUACGGGAGGCAGCAGUGGGGAAUAUUGGACAAUGGGCGCAAGCCUGAUCCAGCCAUACCGCGUGGGUGAAGAAGGCCUUCGGGUUGUAAAACCCUUUUGUUGGGAAAGAAAAGCAGCAGGUUAAUACCCCGCUGUUCUGACGGUACCCAAAGAAUAAGCACCGGCUAACUUCGUG